Molecule: ribosomal RNA, 392 nt
Filed under: uncultured bacterium
Lineage: Bacteria
Description: partial 16S ribosomal RNA
Rfam family: Bacterial small subunit ribosomal RNA
Source: RNAcentral
AUACGGAGGAUCCGAGCGUUAUCCGGAUUUAUUGGGUUUAAAGGGUGCGCAGGCGGCCAUUUAAGUCAGCGGUUAAAUCGUGGGGCUCAACCCCAUUCUGCCGUUGAUACUGGGUGGCUUGAUUGUGGUCGAGGUUGGCGGAAUUCGUUGUGUAGCGGUGAAAUGCAUAGAUAUGACGAAGAACACCGAUUGCGUAGGCAGCUGACCAGACCGCAAAUGACGCUCAUGCACGAAAGUGUGGGGAUCGAACAGGAUUAGAUACCCUGGUAGUCCGCACAGUAAACGAUGAAUACUUGUUUUCGGCGAUAUAAUGUCGGAGGCAAAGCGAAAGCGAUAAGUAUUCCACCUGGGGAGUACGCCGGCAACGGUGAAACUCAAAUGAAUUGACGGGG